UCCAGUAAAGCUUAUGUGUUUGACUGAGGCAAAAAUGUCCUGUGCUGGGAAGGGCUAGCUUUGGUAGCAGGAUGUUUCAAGCACCUGUAUGUUGCAUAUUCCUGCUUCACAACCCUAUUGCGUUCUGCUCCUUGUUAAUUUAACCUUCUCACCUACUGCAUGAUAUACAAAGACCUUCACCAGGUUUGCCUUCCUUGUCACUGACAGAGAUGCUGGCCAGACCGGACCACUCCUUGAGGGGAUACAAAGUCUGACUUCUAGAGGGAGCCUCCAAAGUUACCAACAUUACUCUCCCAGCUCAGCUUUAUGUCUUGACACAUCUGAGAGUCAGUGUGGUGGUGGCACAGAUUCUUCGAAACAACAGUUGUCCUGGCUUGCAGGUCUUGAUAAUCAUCUCUCUGACAUAGACCUCAGCUAGCUUUCCAUAGGGCAGUCCUGUCAAGAUUUCACAUGAACAAUCACAAGAAGGCCAUCCCUACCGGAAACCCCUGCUUUAAAAGAAGGAAUCACUCAGGCGAAAGGAGCGGUUUUCCGAAGCAGCCGGAUCAAAGUGAAAUCGCUCAGAAUAGCCUGCUCGCAGGUUUCCUUUCGCUCAUAGGUUCACGCAGAGUGUCAGGCGCUCGGCCGCCGGAUCCGGCCCCUCCGGCGCGGAGAAAUUCAGCGGGACGCUCCGCGAGGAGGUCCUCUCUCCGCUCACCCCCAGAGUAUCCUGGGAUUUCCUUUUUUUUUUUUUUUAAAGACUUUAAAAAUAAUUUGGUGGAUCUCUAAUCUAGUUAUCUGCUGUAACUGCAAUAUGCGCUGUAUGUCUGACUCCCACAGACGAAGGCCUCUGUUUCCUUUCUGCCAGUACCUUAGUAUCUGCCUUGCCCAGGAGUCUGCUGAUGAAGACUUCCUGUUUGUUUUGAGUCACUGCUGGAGUGAUAAAUAUACUUCAGCUUUUCUCCUCCGAGAGGAAAGAAACCAGCUGCCCUGAACUACAGAGAAAAUAUGUAGAAAUUCCACCAAAGGGCCCUGUUAUCAUGGAGCUUCUAUGGAAGCAUGAAAAACCCAGUAAUACAAGCUAUGACAAAGGAACAAUUUACAUAUUAAAACGGCCUUCCGCCCGCGCGGACUGAAGUUGUUUGCCUUUAAUCAUUUAUUUUCACUCUAUAACUUUAAUUUGGAACGAUUUGGAGAUAAAUAAAUAAAUGCAAAACCCCCA
RNAcentral lists this long non-coding RNA (1201 nucleotides) under Struthio camelus australis. RNAcentral describes it as "lncRNA (ENSSCUG00000014036.1)". The record is from RNAcentral. Lineage: Eukaryota; Metazoa; Chordata; Aves; Struthioniformes; Struthionidae.